GAUGAACGCUGGCGGCGUGCCUAAUACAUGCAAGUCGAGCGAACAGAUGAGGAGCUUGCUCCUCUGACGUUAGCGGCGGACGGGUGAGUAACACGUGGAUAACCUACCUAUAAGACUGGGAUGACUUCGGGAAACCGGAGCUAAUACCGGAUAAUAUAUUGAACCGCAUGGUUCAAUAGUGAAAGACGGUUUUGCUGUCACUUAUAGAUGGAUCCGCGCCGCAUUAGCUAGUUGGUAAGGUAACGGCUUACCAAGGCAACGAUGCGUAGCCGACCUGAGAGGGUGAUCGGCCACACUGGAACUGAGACACGGUCCAGACUCCUACGGGAGGCAGCAGUAGGGAAUCUUCCGCAAUGGGCGAAAGCCUGACGGAGCAACGCCGCGUGAGUGAUGAAGGUCUUCGGAUCGUAAAACUCUGUUAUUAGGGAAGAACAAAUGUGUAAGUAACUAUGCACGUCUUGACGGUACCUAAUCAGAAAGCCACGGCUAACUACGUG
This 497-nucleotide ribosomal RNA is filed under the name uncultured bacterium. Its description in RNAcentral is "partial 16S ribosomal RNA". It matches the Rfam family "Bacterial small subunit ribosomal RNA", at positions 28 to 507 of the family's 1533-position model. The record is from RNAcentral.